RNAcentral lists this ribosomal RNA (202 nucleotides) under uncultured bacterium. RNAcentral's name for it is "partial 16S ribosomal RNA". It matches the Rfam family "Bacterial small subunit ribosomal RNA", at positions 1298 to 1500 of the family's 1533-position model. The record is from RNAcentral.
UCGCAGGCUGCAACCCGCCUGCGUGAAGUUGGAAUCGCUAGUAAUCGCGGAUCAGCAUGCCGCGGUGAAUACGUUCCCGGGCCUUGUACACACCGCCCGUCACACCAUGAGAGUCGGGAACACCCGAAGUCCGUAGCCUAACCGCAAGGGGGCGCGGCCGAAGGUGGGUUCGAUAAUUGGGGUGAAGUCGUAACAAGGUAGC